UACGAAGGGGGCUAGCGUUGUUCGGAAUUACUGGGCGCAAAGCGCGCGCAGGCGGUUCUUUAAGUCAGGGGUGAAAGCCCAGAGCUCAACUCUGGAAUUGCCUUUGAAACUAGAGAACUUGGGUACGGGAGAGGUGAGUGGAAUUCCGAGUGUAGAGGUGAAAUUCGUAGAUAUUCGGAAGAACACCAGUGGCGAAGGCGGCUCACUGGCCCGGUACUGACGCUGAGGUGCGAAAGCGUGGGGAGCAAACAGG
Molecule: ribosomal RNA, 253 nt
Filed under: uncultured bacterium
Lineage: Bacteria
Description: partial 16S ribosomal RNA
Rfam family: Bacterial small subunit ribosomal RNA
Source: RNAcentral